AACUUAUCAAGAGUGGUGGAGGGACUGGCCCCGUGAAACCCGGCAACCGAUUAUAAAAUACAAAUAAUUAGGUGCCAAAUCCUGCAGUUUAGGCUGAAAGAUAAGAG
This 107-nucleotide non-coding RNA is filed under the name Clostridium sp. RNAcentral describes it as "SAM-I sequence". It matches the Rfam family "SAM riboswitch aptamer (S box leader)". Rfam says of the family: The SAM riboswitch is found upstream of a number of genes which code for proteins involved in methionine or cysteine biosynthesis in Gram-positive bacteria. The SAM riboswitch acts at the level of transcription termination control. The predicted structure consists of a complex stem-loop region followed by a single stem loop terminator region. RNAcentral also lists the same sequence under 1 other name. The record is from RNAcentral. Lineage: Bacteria; Bacillati; Bacillota; Clostridia; Eubacteriales; Clostridiaceae.